GAUGAAGAACGUAGCGAAAUGCGAUAAGUAAUGUGAAUUGCAGAAUUCAGUGAAUCAUCGAAUCUUUGAACGCACAUUGCGCCACCUGGUAUUCCGGGGGGCAUGCCUGUCCGAGCGUCAUUACAACCCUCAAGCUCAGCUUGGUGUUGGGCCCCGCCGCCCCGGCGGGCCCUAAAGUCAGUGGCGGUGCCGUCCGGCUCCGAGCGUAGUAAUUCUUCUCGCUCUGGAGGUCCGGUCGUGUGCUCGCCAGCAACCCCCAAUUUUUUUCAGGUUGACCUCGGAUCAGGUAGGGAUACCCGCUGAACUUAAGCAUAUCAAUAAGCGGAGGA
RNAcentral lists this unclassified non-coding RNA (329 nucleotides) under soil metagenome. RNAcentral describes it as "partial contains 5.8S ribosomal RNA, internal transcribed spacer 2, and large subunit ribosomal RNA". The stretch from base 1 to 120 matches the Rfam family "5.8S ribosomal RNA", at positions 35 to 154 of the family's 154-position model. The record is from RNAcentral.